RNAcentral lists this long non-coding RNA (1091 nucleotides) under Homo sapiens (human). RNAcentral describes it as "long non-coding RNA NONHSAT151621.1". Lineage: Eukaryota; Metazoa; Chordata; Mammalia; Primates; Hominidae. The record is from RNAcentral.
GCCAGAAUCAGCUGCCAUUCGCUGAACUGAGACAAGAACAACUUAUGUCCCUGAUGCCAAAAAUGCACCUACUCUUUCCUCUAACUCUGGUGAGGUCAUUCUGGAGUGACAUGAUGGACUCCGCACAGAGCUUCAUAACCUCUUCAUGGACUUUUUAUCUUCAAGCCGAUGACGGAAAAAUAGUUAUAUUCCAGCCAGAAAUCCAGUACGCACCACAUUUGGAGCAGGAGCCUACAAAUUUGAGAGAAUCAUCUCUAAGCAAAAUGUCCUAUCUGCAAAUGAGAAAUUCACAAGCGCACAGGAAUUUUCUUGAAGAUGGAGAAAGUGAUGGCUUUUUAAGAUGCCUCUCUCUUAACUCUGGGUGGAUUUUAACUACAACUCUUGUCCUCUCGGUGAUGGUAUUGCUUUGGAUUUGUUGUGCAACUGUUGCUACAGCUGUGGAGCAGUAUGUUCCCUCUGAGAAGCUGAGUAUCUAUGGUGACUUGGAGUUUAUGAAUGAACAAAAGCUAAACAGAUAUCCAGCUUCUUCUCUUGUGGUUGUUAGAUCUAAAACUGAAGAUCAUGAAGAAGCAGGGCCUCUACCUACAAAAGUGAAUCUUGCUCAUUCUGAAAUUUAAGCAUUUUUCUUUUAAAAGACAAGUGUAAUAGACAUCUAAAAUUCCACUCCUCAUAGAGCUUUUAAAAUGGUUUCAUUGGAUAUAGGCCUUAAGAAAUCACUAUAAAAUGCAAAUAAAGUUACUCAAAUCUGUGAAGACUGUAUUUGCUAUAACUUUAUUGGUAUUGUUUUUGUAGUAAUUUAAGAGGUGGAUGUUUGGGAUUGUAUUAUUAUUUUACUAAUAUCUGUAGCUAUUUUGUUUUUUGCUUUGGUUAUUGUUUUUUUCCCUUUUCUUAGCUAUGAGCUGAUCAUUGCUCCUUCUCACCUCCUGCCAUGAUACUGUCAGUUACCUUAGUUAACAAGCUGAAUAUUUAGUAGAAAUGAUGCUUCUGCUCAGGAAUGGCCCACAAAUCUGUAAUUUGAAAUUUAGCAGGAAAUGACCUUUAAUGACACUACAUUUUCAGGAACUGAAAUCAUUAAAAUUUUAUUUGAAUAA